This 21-nucleotide non-coding RNA is filed under the name Caenorhabditis elegans. Lineage: Eukaryota; Metazoa; Nematoda; Chromadorea; Rhabditida; Rhabditidae. The record is from RNAcentral.
UUCCGAAGUAUUCAACAUUAG